UACAGAGGGUGCGAACGUUGUUCGGAAUUACUGGGCGUAAAGGGCGCGUAGGCGGUCCUGUAAGUCUUGUGUGAAAUCCCUCGGCUUAACUGAGGAACUGCACGAGAUACUGCGAGACUUGAGUUCGGGAGAGGGAAGCGGAAUUCCGGGUGUAGCGGUGAAAUGCGUAGAUAUCCGGAGGAACACCGGUGGCGAAGGCGGCUUCCUGGACCGACACUGACGCUGAGGCGCGAAAGCUAGGGGAGCAAACGGG
RNAcentral lists this ribosomal RNA (253 nucleotides) under uncultured bacterium. RNAcentral describes it as "partial 16S ribosomal RNA". It matches the Rfam family "Bacterial small subunit ribosomal RNA", at positions 524 to 776 of the family's 1533-position model. The record is from RNAcentral.